Rhinopithecus bieti (black snub-nosed monkey) is the source of this 272-nucleotide unclassified non-coding RNA. Its record names the gene 7SK. It matches the Rfam family "7SK RNA". From Rfam's summary of the family: 7SK was discovered as an abundant small nuclear RNA in the mid-70s but a possible function has only recently been suggested. Two independent studies have found that 7SK RNA binds the CDK9/cyclin T complex (known as elongation factor P-TEFb). The record is from Ensembl. Lineage: Eukaryota; Metazoa; Chordata; Mammalia; Primates; Cercopithecidae.
UCAUGUGAAGGUGAUCUGGCUUCAUCAUUGCCACCCACUGAUCACCAGAGUUGAUUCAGCUGAUGUCUGGCUACACGGCUGUCCCCUUUCUCCACUGUUCCACGUGUAGCCCUCCUCAAGUUGAAAACUUGGUUGAAGAGGAUGACCUUCCCUGAUAGGAGAGGACCAUUCUUUAAUAAAGAUGUGCAAGUAGCUGUGUAAGCUCUCAAGGUAAAGGUGUCUCCUGCACUCAGUCUUAUAGUCAGUCACUGCAAAUAGCAAGAAGCCUAAUU